CCUACGGGUGGCAGCAGUAGGGAAUAUUGCACAAUGGGGGAAACCCUGAAGCAGCAACGCCGCGUGGGGGAUGAAGGUUUUCGGAUUGUAAACUCCUAUUGUCAGAGAAGAUAAUGACGGUAUCUAACGAAUAAGCCCCGGCUAACUCCGUGCCAGCAGCCGCGGUAAUACGGAGGGGGCAAGCGUUAUCCGGAUUCACUGGGCGUAAAGAGCGCGUAGGCGGGAUAGCAAGUCAGAUGUGAAAUCCCAGGGCUUAACCACAGAACUGCAUUUGAAACUGUUAUUCUAGAGUGUGGGAGAGGUAAGUGGAAUUCUUGGUGUAGGGGUAAAAUGCGUAGAGAUCAGGAGGAAUACUCGUGGCGAAGGCGGCCUGCUAGAACGUAACUGACGUUGAUGCGCGAAAGUGUGGGGAGCAAACAGGAUUAGAUACCCCAGUAGUC
RNAcentral lists this ribosomal RNA (440 nucleotides) under uncultured bacterium. RNAcentral describes it as "partial 16S ribosomal RNA". It matches the Rfam family "Bacterial small subunit ribosomal RNA", at positions 338 to 795 of the family's 1533-position model. The record is from RNAcentral.